RNAcentral lists this ribosomal RNA (465 nucleotides) under Vreelandella stevensii. RNAcentral describes it as "partial 16S ribosomal RNA". It matches the Rfam family "Bacterial small subunit ribosomal RNA", at positions 338 to 795 of the family's 1533-position model. Lineage: Bacteria; Pseudomonadati; Pseudomonadota; Gammaproteobacteria; Oceanospirillales; Halomonadaceae. The record is from RNAcentral.
CCUACGGGUGGCUGCAGUGGGGAAUAUUGGACAAUGGGGGCAACCCUGAUCCAGCCAUACCGCGUGUGUGAAGAAGGCCCUCGGGUUGUAAAGCACUUUCAGUGAGGAAGAACGCCUGGUGGUUAAUACCCAUCAGGAAAGACAUCACUCACAGAAGAAGCACCGGCUAACUCCGUGCCAGCAGCCGCGGUAAUACGGAGGGUGCGAGCGUUAAUCGGAAUUACUGGGCGUAAAGCGCGCGUAGGUGGCUUGAUAAGCCGGUUGUGAAAGCCCCGGGCUCAACCUGGGAACGGCAUCCGGAACUGUCAAGCUAGAGUGCAGGAGAGGAAGGUAGAAUUCCCGGUGUAGCGGUGAAAUGCGUAGAGAUCGGGAGGAAUACCAGUGGCGAAGGCGGCCUUCUGGACUGACACUGACACUGAGGUGCGAAAGCGUGGGUAGCAAACAGGAUUAGAUACCCCAGUAGUC